UGGGGAAUAUUGGGCAAUGGGCGCAAGCCUGACCCAGCAACGCCGCGUGAGGGAAGAAGGCUUUCGGGUUGUAAACCUCUGUCCUUGGUGACGAAAUAAAUGACGGUAGCCAAGGAGGAAGCCCCGGCUAACUACGUGCCAGCAGCCGCGGUAAUACGUAGGGGGCGAGCGUUGUCCGGAAUUACUGGGCGUAAAGGGUGCGUAGGUGGCCUCUUAAGUUGGAUGUGAAAUACCCGGGCUUAACCUGGGGGGUGCAUCUAAUACUGGGAGGCUAGAGUGCAGGAGAGGAAAGCGGAAUUCCUAGUGUAGCGGUGAAAUGCGUAGAUAUUAGGAGGAACACCAGUGGCGAAGGCGGCUCUCUGGACUGUAACUGACACUGAGGCACGAAAGCGUGGGGAGCAAACAG
RNAcentral lists this ribosomal RNA (406 nucleotides) under uncultured bacterium. RNAcentral's name for it is "bacterial SSU rRNA". It matches the Rfam family "Bacterial small subunit ribosomal RNA", at positions 355 to 775 of the family's 1533-position model. The record is from RNAcentral.